RNAcentral lists this ribosomal RNA (227 nucleotides) under Mytilus galloprovincialis (Mediterranean mussel). RNAcentral's name for it is "partial 16S ribosomal RNA". The stretch from base 1 to 108 matches the Rfam family "Bacterial large subunit ribosomal RNA", at positions 2539 to 2646 of the family's 2925-position model. The record is from RNAcentral. Lineage: Eukaryota; Metazoa; Mollusca; Bivalvia; Mytilida; Mytilidae.
UAGGUGUCCUAGAGGUGUAGAAGCCUCUAAGGGUAGGUCUGUUCGCCCUUUAAAAUCUAACAUGAGCUGAGUUCAGAACGGCGUGAGCUAGUUCAGUUUCUAUCCUCUUUUAAAAAUAAGCUAAUUUUGUACGAAAGGACUUUUUCGCUAAAGUAAUGCUUUGGCCCAGCCCUAUAAUUACACAAAUAUUAAUACAUGACGAGCUGAUCAACUCAUAAAAAGGGCUG